RNAcentral lists this ribosomal RNA (491 nucleotides) under uncultured bacterium. RNAcentral's name for it is "bacterial SSU rRNA". It matches the Rfam family "Bacterial small subunit ribosomal RNA", at positions 28 to 516 of the family's 1533-position model. The record is from RNAcentral.
GACGAACGCUGGCGGCGUGCCUAACACAUGCAAGUCGAACGGGAAUCUUUGAAAUGAAGCUUCGGCAGAUUUUCAAAGAGGAUAGUGGCGGACGGGUGAGUAACGCGUGAGUAACCUGCCGAGAAGAGGGGAACAACACAUCGAAAGGUGUGCUAAUACCGCAUAUUGUCAUCGAACCGCAUGAUUUGAUGAUGAAAGAUUUUAUCGCUUCUUGAUGGACUCGCGUCUGAUUAGAUAGUUGGUGGGGUAACGGCCUACCAAGUCGACGAUCAGUAGCCGGACUGAGAGGUUGAACGGCCACAUUGGGACUGAGACACGGCCCAGACUCCUACGGGAGGCAGCAGUGGGGAAUAUUGCGCAAUGGGGGCAACCCUGACGCAGCAACGCCGCGUGAAGGAAGAAGGUCUUCGGAUUGUAAACUUCUGCCCUAUGAGACGAAGGAAGUGACGGUAUCAUAGGAGGAAGCCCCGGCUAACUACGUGCCAGCAGCC